AGAUCGCGCUCCACCGAGCCACCUCCUCCCAGGCUCCGGAGCGCGUAAAACGGACAAGGCAUCCUCCUCCCAGUCUUGUCCGCGGAAACGUCGCCCGUCAGCACCUCCUCCCGCUGACGGGCGAGCGUU
RNAcentral lists this small RNA (129 nucleotides) under Roseibium suaedae. RNAcentral describes it as "Labrenzia sp. YC6927 Alphaproteobacterial ar14". It matches the Rfam family "Alphaproteobacterial ar14". Rfam says of the family: Smr14C2 was renamed NfeR1 (Nodule Formation Efficiency RNA) highly expressed in salt stress and during the symbiotic interaction on legume roots. Lineage: Bacteria; Pseudomonadati; Pseudomonadota; Alphaproteobacteria; Hyphomicrobiales; Stappiaceae. The record is from Rfam by way of RNAcentral.